Molecule: ribosomal RNA, 2227 nt
Filed under: Triticum aestivum (bread wheat)
Lineage: Eukaryota; Viridiplantae; Streptophyta; Magnoliopsida; Poales; Poaceae
Description: partial small subunit ribosomal RNA
Source: RNAcentral
GUCCUCUAAACAGGGUAGGUAAGGCACAGGCGGGUGGCGGUGGUUGAGUGUUCGAUGGAGCCCUAGGAGAUUAAGAGGGGACGGGUUAGGUAUCUAGGGGUGGUUGGUCUCGGAGGGUACCGAAGGAAGCUUAGGUAGGGGAGGAGCUAGGUGGAGCGCUCGUCGUGAGUAGGCGGCGCGGAGAUCGAGGAGGACUCGUUCCCGGAGCGCGAGGACCCCGGACGUGGGAGAGCGAGGUCUUCUUCUCCUCGAAUGGCUCGAAGAGGAGUUGGGGUGGUCGGCUGCACCGGUACUGGCUCCGGUGGUCUCGUUCGGCAGCUGUCCGGUCGGGGAGCGCGGGGAGAGGGAGAAGGAAGAGGGACAGCAGUAGAGGAGGGAGAGAGAGAGAUUAAGGGUGGCACCGGCAGGAGCGUCCAUUGAGUCGAGGCUUGUCGCGGCGGGCCAGUACCUACGGCGGUACCUACGACUCGAGGAGUUAGGGCCACAGCAGGUCCGGGCAAAGGUCGGUCUAGGCUUGCGGUACAUGGAGCGGCGGGGAAGCGGGCGAGCGGCCUCGAGACGAGGGGCGGAAAGGGCGGCGGUUAAGACAGCGAGCCAUGGACAGCGACAGCAGAAAGAAGUCUCUGCUCGUCUCCUCGAGCGGGCCAGGUCGGCGUACGCAACUGGCGCUGGUUGAAGAGCUAGGCGGUCACGGAGCGGAGCUAGACCUCUCCGGGUCAGAGGAGCCGCGGGACGGAGGAGAGCGGACACGGUCGCGUGACUGAGUUCGGCCGGGUCGAAGGAACAACGCCGAACGACGAAGUAGUUGACCCGGAACAGGGUACCACCCAACGGGACGCGGGGAAGAAAAGGGGGGGAGGUAAACCCGAUCCGAUCGACAAAACCGGGCAUAGUGGAAAAAAAAGGUGUACUGCUAAAAGGAUAAAUAAGGUCUCAAACGUCUAAAUGUCUUUUUGGGGGAUCGCAAAUACGUAAAUUAUAGAGUGUUUGAUUCGUUGUGUACAUUUUUGAAACAUAUACUUUGAACGAAUCAAAAAGUAGAUCAAAGUAUUAUACAGAAAAAGUAGGUACAAAUUUUACAAAUUAUACGACAAACAAAUUAAAAAAAAUUUAUUGAACGAUUUUACAAAAUUAAGUAUUGAUUAAUUGGCAUCGAGGUUUAAAUUAUUUGAAGUAUACAUUUACCCCAUCUUAAAACGGAUCAAAUUGUACCACCGUAGUAGAACGUACAAAUUGUUGAAAUUUUAUACCGAAUCCCGUCUUGUCAUGGUUUAGAUAUUAUACGAGUACCCCAAAAUGGCCUUAACAACAAGCAACGAAGGCCGGAGUAAAUUUGAACUGAUCUAUCCAUCAAAAUGAAACGAAGUGGGAGAACGGUACGAUUGUUGUAAAUUAGAACAACCCAUGUAUUUGCUCUAGCUUGAUUUAUUGAACUUACACCUCAACGCGGUUAUACGUUGAGCAACGUAUAACUCGAGGUGAAUUAAAUAUCCUAACGAACACGUGAAACGGUACGGUACGAAGUAAUUUGGCCUGUACGUAGUAUGAACCAACACGUAGUACGGUACCAGUACACAACCAACAAAUGAUACAACAAACGAGGAAAGGCCACAACAAAGAAACCCAACCAAGGCUAUUGCAGCGCAACACUCCUUGGCAAGCUGAUGCUGGCAAACUGAAGAAGUACCUGAGCAAGAAGAAGGAACGCCAUAGAGUCGAACGUCCACGGCUACUCUGGCACGUCUACUGCGUUGGUUCGAGUCCUCCUCGAGCUACUUCUAGAACAGGAAACACAACGAAGCAAGAUCAACUAGUCAUCACCUCGGGUCAACCCCAGCUAGCCCCUGGCACAGGGUAGACCCCAACAAGAAAAUAAAACCAAGGCAUCAGCCUGGAACUAACAUAAACCUACAACAUUACGAAAUAAGUACAUUAACACACUUCACCUCUAACAUUCGGUUGGUACAUAGAGAAAGGGAAUACAUAAUGUACCCAACACACUUCUAAUGGAGUGAACGCUGUAACGAAAGUUACGCCAAUACGGAGAUUCAGCACGAAGCUGUACACCCUCUAUAUCGACGUAGCUCCCGCAAUGUUCAACCAUAGUCUCGGAAGGGGCUGGAAUCCUCGGGGGUAACGAACUAGCAAAAAUCGUCGGCAACAACUCAGAUCUUUUUACAAAACUCAGUAAAUCCUUAAUAUAUAGCCUCUCAAAUCCUUAAGAAAA